AUGGGGAUGGUGGAGGAGGAGUCAACUUACUCUUGGGAAUGGUUUCUCACCACUUUAAAGAAUGAUUUAAACAUCAUUAACACCUCCCCUUUCACUAUAAUGAGUGACAAGCAAAAGGGUUUGAUCAAUGCUGUUGAGAAGAUAUGGCCAGAUGCAGAACACAGAUUUUGUGUUAGACAUCUUUAUCAAAACUUCCACCAGAAGUUCAAAGGAGAAACACUGAAGAAUAUGUUGUGGGCCAUUGCUAGGUCAACUAAUGUGGACAAGUGGACCUUGAACAAAGAGAAGCUGAGGGCAGAACUUGGAGGCAUAUAA
Molecule: ribosomal RNA, 315 nt
Filed under: Triticum aestivum (bread wheat)
Lineage: Eukaryota; Viridiplantae; Streptophyta; Magnoliopsida; Poales; Poaceae
Description: partial small subunit ribosomal RNA
Source: RNAcentral